This 2033-nucleotide long non-coding RNA is filed under the name Chinchilla lanigera (long-tailed chinchilla). RNAcentral's name for it is "lncRNA (ENSCLAG00000024405.1)". Lineage: Eukaryota; Metazoa; Chordata; Mammalia; Rodentia; Chinchillidae. The record is from RNAcentral.
CUCUCUCUCUGUCCACCAUGAUGCCAUGCAGAUCAUGGGCUCUCUGACAGUUGUUGAAUUAGCUGUUCAAAGACUUUGUUUAUUCUUCUCCAAGGUGGCUCGCAGACCCAAACCUGAGGCCUGUGUAGGUGCAGGCGCAGACUGCUGUAGAGAUUUGUGUUCCUUCCCUUCUCUUCAUCACUGUUUAGGCCAGCGCGUUGGGUGAGGGCUAGAUUUAUGAACCCCUCCGUUGGGCUGCCUGACUUCCAUAGUUCACAGCCGGGCCACCUCGGGAUGUGGAUUUCUGUUCUUUUGCCAUUGUUUUCCCACUCUCUAUUUCUAAUUUCUCUUUCUUUUUCAGAGGGUGAUGCUGUUAUUUCCACCCCGAGUGCUUGGCCCCACGAUUUGGCUCUGGGCUCUGUAACCCAUGGCAACAAGAGAAGGGAAGCAGGUGGCCCUUGGUGUUCAAAGCCCAGCAUCCCCAAGAAGCUGGCUGAAUACACAGUCUGGGCUUUACCUCACACAGUUCAGGUGAGUGCUGAAGUUUAAGAACUAUUGUCAUGAGGAGUGGCAGGGAUUUGGCAGAGGUCACUGUAGACUUUACCACGGUUUAUAGAGGGAAUAUGCAAAGGGUAGCAAGUGAGCCAAAGUCUCGGGAAGAAGAUCAUCAUUAUCCCUCACUGUUUUAAAGAAAAAUGUUCACUUAUUACUUAAAUUUAUGUUUUUCUUUAAAGAGAAAAUAUAGUGGCCCACAAAGCUGUAAACUAUAAAAGUUAUAAUGUUAAUUCACAGGAGACAGAGUGGAAGAGUGGGAAGAGAUAUUUGCAAUGCUUAAACUCUAGAAAAAAAAAGAGCUGACACUAGUAUUUAGAAUGUAAAAGAACUCCGCAAAUGGACCAGAAAGCCCGUGGGAAAAAUGCAGAAACUGUAUGAAACUUAACUGAAGGACUCAAGUUUGAAGGGGUGCUCAAGCUGAAGGGUCAAGAUUUUAGAAAACUGGGUUGUUCUGGUUGUUUGCAUGGAUGUGAGGUUGUGGGAACUCUUUCUCAUCACUGCAGAGGAGUAAAGGAGUAUGAUCCUUUUAGAAAGCAAUCUGAUGAUCUCAAUGGCCUUAAAUAUGAGGAUGCCCUGAGACUAAGGGGGCAAGAUGCCCUUCUUACCCAGGGUAGCAGGAAACCUGAGGUUCUGGCAUAAUUAGUAAUAGUGCCACUUCUUACUCCCCAAAAUGUCCUUACCAAAAUAAAUUACAUACUCAUCCUACUUCUGCAGUUUUACCUCUAAACACAUAUCUUGAAAAUAUUUUUAUAAAGGGAUCAUACACAAGAAUGCCUUUUUAGCAUUAUUUGUGAUAAUGUGGAAUUGAAAUCAAUCUUUGGAGCCUUCCACUAGAGGAAUUGACAAAUACACUGGGGUCAUACUUUCUAUGGUAUGCCAUAUAGCAGACAGAGGUGAUAUUUUAAUAUGUCUACAGUAUAUAGCAAUAUGAACUCAUUCUAAAAGCAAAAUUAUGAAUGUAAAAGCAUGAGAUUUAAAGCAAGAUUCUGUUUGUCCAAAUUUUAAAACAAAUUCAGAUUUGUUAAAUGUAAAAUAAUAACAGAUAUACAAAAACAUGUACACAUGUCAAAAAUAUUGAAAUGCCUAUUUUAGGGCAAGAAAAAUAUAGAUGAUCUGAGGUGAUGAAUUUAAAAAUUCAGUUAAAUUAAGAGGAGGGUCUUGUAUGGAGUUAUGUGAUGAUGUGUAAUAAAAAGAGGUGUGAAAUUAUUAUAAACCACUGCCCUUGAGGUAAAAAAUAAAGGACCAAAGAGGGACUAUAAUAUUAUUUUCCAUCUCUGGGAAAGUAGUGAAAAAAAUUUUCCUUCAAAUAAAAUAUGAUCAUAAUUAGGAAGUGAUAGUUCAUAGGAUAAUUUUGAAGUUUGUCCUUAUAAUGGAUUGACAACUGGUGGUCAACUUAUAACCCCCAGCCGAACUGAGUAAGCAUGGUGCUGGGUGUGGGAGGCCCACCUGAUAAUUGUUGCCAGCAGCAUAAGAGGUAGAACUGGAGAAGAAGUCUGUUG